AUUGUUUUCGUCGUUUGAGCACGUGCGAAUUAGACGAAAACUACUUUCCCUUGUCAAUGUAGUUUCCGAUAGGUGGCUCUGUAAGAGAGCGUUUUACUCGUGGCCGAGUAACUCUGUUCAGUCAUUCAGCGUUGGGAUUGACUGAUCGAUACAUGUGUUAAUUUUUUAUUUUGUUUUGAAUAACAGUAAGAGUAACAUUACAAACGUUAUUGUUUAAAAGUGUAAUCUACAUGCUUUUUACCCUGGUACGAGCUAAUUUUGAAAUUCAGGAAUGUGUUUUUUACAACAGGUCAUGCGUUUAUCCACAUUACGUACGCAUUUAAUGUAUUCAAUUUAUACAUGUAUACCAGUAUCAUAAUAAUUAUUAUUUAUCCCACUGAGGGAUUCAGUCUCCGGAAGAGACGAUAGGCGUGGCUGCCUUUAUAGUUGCUUACGAGGAGGGACUCGUGUAGGCAUACAGUAUGCCUGGUGAUGUAACAGUCUACGUUGAUAGGCGUGGCUUCCUUUAUAGUUGCUUACGAGGAGGGACUCGUGUAGGCAUACAGUAUGCCUAGUGUCGUAGUAGUCUGUUGAUAGGCGUGGCUGCCUUAUAAGUUGCCUACGAGGAGGGACUCGUGCCGGCAUACAGUAUGCCUGGCGUUGUUGUAGACUAUGUUGUAUGUUGUAACAAAGUUUUUGUGUGUAUUCAUGUUUUUUAUGUAUGUUUGAUGACUAUGAAAUAGUAAUACACGGUAUCAGUCAGUCGGUCAUACCAAUGACUUACCAAAAAAUA
Molecule: long non-coding RNA, 772 nt
Organism: Dreissena polymorpha
Lineage: Eukaryota; Metazoa; Mollusca; Bivalvia; Myida; Dreissenidae
Exons: 2
Source: RefSeq, a predicted model, not a curated record